This 530-nucleotide long non-coding RNA is filed under the name Homo sapiens (human). RNAcentral describes it as "novel transcript". Lineage: Eukaryota; Metazoa; Chordata; Mammalia; Primates; Hominidae. The record is from RNAcentral.
UCAAAUGAUUCCCAGUGGAGGGAUGUUUUACAAAAUACCUGAUCAUUACUCCUCAAAACUGUCAAGGUCAAGAAAAACAUGGAAUGUCUGAAAAAUUUUCACAGCCAAGAGGAGUCCCAGAGGACAUGAACUAAAUGUAAUAUAGUAUCCUGGAUGGAAUAACCUGUACUGAAGAUUAGAGUUUCCAAAUUUAUUUGAUGGAAAGAAAACCAGUAUAUUUAUGGGAACAUCAAUUUUCAUUGCUUCACUCCCUCUUAAUUGAGGAAAAUUCCUGAGAUGACACAGUGAACCCUCUUUGUAUUCCAGCUGCAGGUCUAAGUCUGAGUCUCCUAAAGAGCCUGAACAGCUGAGGAAGCUCUUCAUUGGAGAGUUAAGCUUUGAAACAGCUGAUGAGAGCCUGAGGAGCCAUUUUGAGCAGUGGGGAAUGCUCAUGGACUGUGUGGUCAUGAGAGAUCCAAACACCAAGUGCUCCAGGGGCUUUGGGUUUGUCACAUAUGCCACUGUGGAGGAGGUAGAUGCAGCCAUGAACG